GAUGAACGCUGGCGGCGUGCCUAAUACAUGCAAGUCGAGCGAACAGAUGAGGAGCUUGCUCCUCUGACGUUAGCGGCGGACGGGUGAGUAACACGUGGAUAACCUACCUAUAAGACUGGGAUAACUACGGGAAACCGGAUCUUAUACCGGAUAAUAUAUUGAACCGCAUGGUGCAAUAGUGAAAUACGGUUUUGCUGUCACUAAUAGAUGAAUCCGCGCCGCAUUAGUUGGUGGGUAAGGUAACGGCUUACCAAGGCAAGGAUGCGUAGCCGACCUGAGAGCGAGGUAGCCUAGACGGGAUGGGAGACUGGUUCGAGACUCCUGCGGUAGGAAACAGUAGGGAAUCUUACGCAAUGGGGGAGAGGCUGACGGAGCAACGCGGGGGGAGUGAUGAAGCUGCUCUGAUCGGAAAGCUCUGUUAUUAGGGAAGAACAAAUGUGUAAGUAACUAUGCAGGUAUUGACGGUACCUAGUCAGAAAGCCCCGGCUAACUACGUG
RNAcentral lists this ribosomal RNA (497 nucleotides) under uncultured bacterium. RNAcentral describes it as "partial 16S ribosomal RNA". It matches the Rfam family "Bacterial small subunit ribosomal RNA", at positions 28 to 507 of the family's 1533-position model. The record is from RNAcentral.